CCUACGGGAGGCUGCAGUGAGGAAUAUUGGUCAAUGGACGAGAGUCUGAACCAGCCAAGUAGCGUGAAGGAUGACUGCCCUAUGGGUUGUAAACUUCUCUUAUAUGGGAAUAAAACGUUCCACGUGUGGGAUUUUGUAUGUACCAUAUGAAUAAGGAUCGGCUAACUCCGUGCCAGCAGCCGCGGUAAUACGGAGGAUCCGAGCGUUAUACGGAUUUAUUGGGUUUAAAGGGAGCGUAGGUGGAUUGUUAAGUCAGUUGUGAAAGUUUGCGGCUCAACCGUAAAAUUGCAGUUGAGACUGGCAGUCUUGAGUACAGUAGAGGUGGGCGGAAUUCGUGGUGUAGCGGUGAAAUGCUUAGAUAUCACGAAGAACUCCGAUUGCGAAGGCAGUUCACUGGACUGCAACUGACACUGAGGCUCGAAAGUGUGGGUAUCAAACAGGAUUAGAUACCCCAGUAGUC
This 460-nucleotide ribosomal RNA is filed under the name uncultured bacterium. RNAcentral describes it as "partial 16S ribosomal RNA". It matches the Rfam family "Bacterial small subunit ribosomal RNA", at positions 338 to 795 of the family's 1533-position model. The record is from RNAcentral.